Molecule: ribosomal RNA, 253 nt
Filed under: uncultured bacterium
Lineage: Bacteria
Description: partial 16S ribosomal RNA
Rfam family: Bacterial small subunit ribosomal RNA
Source: RNAcentral
UACAGAGGUCCCAAGCGUUGUUCGGAUUCAUUGGGCGUAAAGGGUGCGUAGGUGGCGCCGUAAGUCGGGUGUGAAAUUUCGGAGCUUAACUCCGAAACUGCAUUCGAUACUGCGGUGCUUGAGGACUGGAGAGGAGACUGGAAUUCAUGGUGUAGCAGUGAAAUGCGUAGAGAUCAUGAGGAAGACCAGUGGCGAAGGCGGGUCUCUGGACAGUUCCUGACGCUGAGGCACGAAGGUCAGGGGAGCAAACGGG